Molecule: ribosomal RNA, 443 nt
Filed under: uncultured bacterium
Lineage: Bacteria
Description: partial 16S ribosomal RNA
Rfam family: Bacterial small subunit ribosomal RNA
Source: RNAcentral
CCUACGGGAGGCAGCAGUGGGGAAUAUUGGGCAAUGGGCGCAAGCCUGACCCAGCAACGCCGCGUGAAGGAAGAAGGCUUUCGGGUUGUAAACUUCUUUUCUGAGGGACGAAGAAAGUGACGGUACCUCAGGAAUAAGCCACGGCUAACUACGUGCCAGCCGCCGCGGUAAUCCGUAGGUGGCAAGCGUUAUCCGGAUUUAUUGGGUGUAAAGGGCGUGUAGGCGGGAAAGCAAGUCAGAGGUGCAAAACCAGGGCUCAACCCUGGGCCUGCAUUUGAAACUGUUUUUCUUGAGUGCUGGAGAGGCAAUCGGAAUUCCGGGUGUAGCAGUGAAAUGCGUAGAUAUAAGGAGGAACACCAGUGGCGAAGGCGGAUGGCUGGACAGUAACUGACGCUGAGGCGCGAAAGCGUGGGGAGCAAACAGGAUUAGAUACCCCUGUAGUC